AUGUGCGUUUCAGUUCGAUUUUGUCCACUGCGGUACUAUGCGGCUUGCUCGAGCAGAGGUUUGGCACGGUUCGAGAUGAGCGCCAGCAUCACGGUGACCUACAAGAGGAAGCGUGGCGCGUCGCGCGCCCAGGCGGCUGAUGCCGCCACUCCGGAGCCUCGUCCUGUUUCUAGCGGUGGGGUUGCCGACCCCGAAGCCCCGGAAGACGGGGCGGACGCUGAUAAAGACCUGUUGAACCGAUAUGAUCAUCCUGCCUCUACACAGCAACAGCAUCUCUGCAAGUCAAUGCAAGAAAGCGCCAGAGAAGAAGCACCUAAGCCAUGUGCACAUGCAACAGAGAAAGAACAAAAGGAAAUCCCAUUGUGCGAACCAUUGCCACGGAUGGAGCGACCUGAGAUUUGUUCUGUCACCACUCUCCCAAUAGCAGAGGCGUGUAAUGAUAAAUUACAAUGCACCAAUGAUGCAGUUAAUCCCAUCCCUGCUCCCAGUUCUGUAUGCUAUCUCAGACAUGCUGAUGGGACAACUAAUCAAGCAGAGGAUUCUAAUAACUCUGCUCAUGUGGUAAUAAAUUCUCAUCAAGGCCCAGAAGAUAGUAUCAGACCUAGUCAAUGUAAGAACAGAUUUAGUCCUCAGCUCACCUUCCGGAGGCGUGUUAAAAGGAAAAUUGAUUUGGAUGAGGCAGCAGAGGGAAAUUAUAUGAAUAACGGCAAAGGGUACUCAACACUGGCAUGUAGCCCAGCAAGUUUGUCAGUUAAUGCUACAGCCUUGCUUGAAGUAACUAAUGCUGAUUCUUUGGAUAUUGCAGAUAAGGUAGCUACAGAAGGAACAAGUAUUGGAUUAACUGUACCAGCUCAACGCUUGCUUGAACAAAAAAGUUCAUGCAUGCUAAAAUCUAAAAUGCAGCAUACGGUUUCCACACAGCAUAUUGAAGAUGUAAACCAAGCCUUAACUUCAGAACGGGAUGGUACACCAGUUUCAGAAUUUACUAGCGUGCAAGUGAUCAGUGAGCCAGAUGUAAGAGCGGAGGACUUGAGCAAAACUCUAGGUCGUGUUAAUGAAGCACCAAAAGUUGUUGAAAUGAAGGAGUUACAUGAUGAUCCUCCAGAAUCCCAAGGUUCAACAAAACAUAUUCCAGUAAUUAUCUUGGACGGUGAUAAUGAUGAGAGGGCCAGGGGUAAACUGCUGGAAAAUUCAAAGGUUCCUGAUCAAGUAGUCCAGGAGGAAAACAAAACCAGAUUUAAUUUUGGGAAGUUCAACCUGAAUUCGGUUGAAUUAUCUCAAGAGAGGCUUCUCAAUCUGAAUGACUCGUCUGUUCAAAGGCUGCCAGAUCAGGAUCAUUUUGGUACUGAACGAAAACAAGUUUCUCAACCAAUUGAAAGGUUAUUUUUUACAAAGGAGAAAGAAACCGUCCAUGAUAAAGAACAACAUCAAGAGGGAACCUCAACAUUACAUACCUUGUACCCAAAUUUUUAUGAUCCGGCUCUGUCAUGGAAAGCUGGGAGUUCCAAGGAACCAAAGAGCAUGCCUUCAGAACUGAAAUUCAGAAUAAUGGAUAAGGCUCCUGAGUCCAGUUUGGAACUCCGCUUGGAUAGUUUCCAAGACAGUGGCAUGUCUGCCCUUAGUCACGAUAAGUUAUUUCAUGGAGGCAAGUCCAGUGGAUCUCAUGUACUGACAGAAAGGGUUGGCACAUAUUCCUACAGAAGGCGUCAGGUUACCUGGUCGGAAGAAGAGUUAGAUUUUCUGUGGAUUGGAGUGAGGAGGUAUGGAACGAAUAACUGGAACGCAAUGCUUAGGGAUACACGGCUACGGUUCUCAAGCUCAAGAAUGGCUGAGGACCUUGCUAAACAAUGGAACAAGGAGCAAAAGAAACUUCUAGGUGUAGAUCUUCAAUCAAUAAGAACAUCUGCUUUAGGUUCUGCACCGCCUCCCCAUAUAGCAGAAGAUUAUGCUGGAAGCAGUUCGUGCACUGGAUGCUCAAAGCCUCCAUUUCUUGCAGCCCAAUCGGACCUUUCCUUGCGCGACGUGCACCUUCAGAAUGCUCACUCUUCAGAUAGAGGCCAACAUUAUUUGUCAAACCUUGGCAGGUUUAACCUUCAUGGAAUCGACAAUGUGCCGAGAAAUUUGUCUCUGGGAGGCUUCCCUGGAGCUUCUCCCUCACAGGGGAGAACUGGGAGCAGGCGUAGGAAGACAACCAAGCUUCAAAAGCCAUACUAUGACAACAGGUCACACUGGUGCCAAGAACUACCACAGAGGAUGCCGGCUCAGCUCGUUCCCAUCAACCAACAACCAAUCAACAGCCUUCCUCAGUGGCUUACCAAGGGCGCCGAGACCGGUAAAAGCUGGCUUAACCCGGAGACGUGGUCGAGCGCGUCGCAGGCGCCAGGCCAUUCUGUCGCAGAUCCACUGAAUGACAGCCUGAGGGCUGCCGCCUUUCUGUUCCCCGACGACAAGAAACCACAUGCCAUGCCCGACGCCUCUUUGAAGCUGGCGCUGAAGAGGAAAGCGGAGUGGCGCAGUCUAGGCAAGAAGCUUUUCCGGACCAGCGGUGACACCUUGGAUCUAAACCAGAGGGCUGCUGCUAUGGCAGCAGGGCCGAGCGGCGCCACCCCGAGCGACACCGGCGCGUCGUCUGAAGAGACGGUGUCAGAUAGCUGA
This 2655-nucleotide ribosomal RNA is filed under the name Triticum aestivum (bread wheat). RNAcentral describes it as "partial small subunit ribosomal RNA". Lineage: Eukaryota; Viridiplantae; Streptophyta; Magnoliopsida; Poales; Poaceae. The record is from RNAcentral.